CGCGGGGUGGAGCAGACCGGUAGCUCAUCGGGCUCAUAACCCGAAGACCGUGGGUUCAAAUCCCACCC
RNAcentral lists this transfer RNA (68 nucleotides) under Solidesulfovibrio magneticus str. Maddingley MBC34. Its description in RNAcentral is "Desulfovibrio magneticus str. Maddingley MBC34 tRNA-Met". It matches the Rfam family "tRNA". Rfam says of the family: Transfer RNA (tRNA) molecules are approximately 80 nucleotides in length. Their secondary structure includes four short double-helical elements and three loops (D, anti-codon, and T loops). The record is from RNAcentral. Lineage: Bacteria; Pseudomonadati; Thermodesulfobacteriota; Desulfovibrionia; Desulfovibrionales; Desulfovibrionaceae.